This 379-nucleotide ribosomal RNA is filed under the name uncultured bacterium. Its description in RNAcentral is "bacterial SSU rRNA". It matches the Rfam family "Bacterial small subunit ribosomal RNA", at positions 521 to 896 of the family's 1533-position model. The record is from RNAcentral.
UAAGACGAACCGUGCGAACGUUAUUCGGAUUCAUUGGGCUUAAAGAGCACGUAGGCGGCGACAUAAGUCGGGGGUGAAAUACUAUCGGCUCAACCGUAGAAUUGCCUUCGAUACUGUGUCGCUCGAGGAAGAUAGGGGCGAGUGGAACUUCCGGUGGAGCGGUGAAAUGUGUUGAGAUCGGAAGGAACGCCAGUGGCGAAAGCGACUCGCUGGGUCUUAUCUGACGCUGAGGUGCGAAAGCUAGGGGAGCAAACGGGAUUAGAUACCCCGGUAGUCCUAGCCGUAAACGAUGGGUACUGGGUAGAAAGCGAUCCGAUGUCGCCUUCUGCCGAAGCGAAAGUGUUUAGUACCCCGCCUGGGGAGUAUGGUCGCAAGGCUG